UACAUAAUACAUUUUCUUUUUUUUUUUGCAGAUAAGAUCACAAUGUCUCCUAUAUUUUGGUAUGGAAACGCCCCGUCAGCCUUCACUACAACAUGAUUAAAGACACAAACAAGUAUUUUCGGUUAAUCGUAGAGCUAUUGAUUCGUCAGUUGUUUAUCAUAGGUAAUCACGGGUUAUGCCGUAUCAAUGUCGGACACCUGCCACACAGAGAGUAUGCACCUUGUCAGAUCAAAGUGUUUCUGGUGCAUCACCUGAGGUUAAAUAACAGUGUGUGGUCUGAAUCAUGAAUGGAAACAAAACUGUCCAUUCCCCCACAGCCUGAGCAAUAUUCCACUAAUGUCAAUGUGUAGGUCUUCCAUCCUUCCACGAAGGCUAUUUUGAGCUGCAUGCACGACCCUAUCCUCUCCGUUACCAUGUGCAGUUUUGAUAUUGCAGAGCGACCUCCCACGUGAGUCAGGUCUUAGUCACCGGCCUCCCUCAUUUGGCCAACUCUGGGCUCUCUCGCCCGAGCGUGAGCUUCUCCCACUUGCUGGCGGACUGCAAUGCCUCCUAGAGCUGAGGGAAGACAGAUACCAGUGCAGACGAUAUGAGCCUCCGGUGCUUUGCAAAGACCUCAAGGACUGAAAUUUGGAAUGCUGCACAAAAUGAAGAAGAUGAAGAAAAGAAGGUCAGAAGAGACUGAAAUGGAUUUCGGUGAAGAUGUUUUACCUGCGAUCUUACACAGGAAACAGGUGGCCACUGGACAGCAACUGCUGGCGUCCUUCUUUUUAAAGAAAGGCAAGCAUAAUGAAUUCAAGCAUGGAUAUCACAGUGGAUAUUUAUUAAUGUUUAAACAGCCUGGGUGGCAAAAGAGUUAGUUUUGUGUGCAGCAUUGGUCCAAGAUGUUGUCAUGUUCACAGACUGUGUCGCCUGCUCUCUUUUUUUUUUUAUACCCAUGCUCCAUUUCUACCUUGUGUGAGUGUUCCCAAACCUUGGGUGGGGCACAAGAACCUCUGGGUGGGACUGUAAUUUCAAGUUGAUGCUGGCCUUUAAAGCCAUACAGAGAAUGUGUUCCCAGGAGCAGAAGGGGGCUGUGUAAUCGAAGAGGGUAGCAACUCUUUAUAAAUAGGCAAGAAGCAAGCUCGGGCUGAUGUCUCAGAAAUGCAGAUAGCUCUUCCACUUGAUAGGACAUGAAGAAAGAUAUAGAUAGACUCUAAGUGAUAGACAAGAGGAACACAACACAACUUAGUCCUCUAUUUAUUAAACUGGCUUUACUUCAAUGUCCCAGUGAUGACUGUAUCUCACAUUCCUCAGAACACCUAGAAGGUCCUCAAGUGAGUAUCUGUACACAAGCAUGUAAC
Molecule: long non-coding RNA, 1340 nt
Filed under: Scleropages formosus (Asian bonytongue)
Lineage: Eukaryota; Metazoa; Chordata; Actinopteri; Osteoglossiformes; Osteoglossidae
Description: lncRNA (ENSSFOG00015028959.1)
Source: RNAcentral